This 945-nucleotide ribosomal RNA is filed under the name Triticum aestivum (bread wheat). Its description in RNAcentral is "partial small subunit ribosomal RNA". Lineage: Eukaryota; Viridiplantae; Streptophyta; Magnoliopsida; Poales; Poaceae. The record is from RNAcentral.
AUGGCUUACACGUUCCGGAUCCACUGCCGCGCCUCCGACGACCACAGCCUCGCGCUCAUCGACGGCCAAGUCGUCCUCGCCGCCGCCGACCCCGGCGACGACCGCCAGGCAAGCCUACCUUCCCGGUGGUACAAGGACGUGAUGUACGCCGGCGGCCUCAAGGACGAGGCCGGCAACCCGGCGUUCGCCCUCGUCAACAAGGCCACCGGCGAUGCCCUCAAGCACUCCCUCGGCUACCAUCUGCCAGUGAGAGCGAUACGGUUCAACCCGGGGUGCCUGGACGAGUCGGUGCUGUGGUCGGAGAGCAGGGACGUGGCCGGCGGCUUCAGCCGCGUCCACAUGGUGAACAACAUGGAGUACAUCUUCGACGCCGAGCGGGGCGGCUCCGAGUACGGCGGCCCGCGCGACGGCACGCGGCUCAUCCUCUUCCGCUGGAUCCGCGGCGACAACCAGCUCUGGAGGAUCUCCGACGAGCCGGCAGGGCGUGGGCCGCCCAUGCGGGUCUCGUCUGAGUGCAACCAGGAGCUGAGCCUCACCGUCCGCGACGGCGCCGCCGUCCUCGCGAGCACGGAUCUGGAGGAUGACAAACAAGCUUGGAUCCAGAGCUUUCGGAACACCGAGCGCGUGACGGACUCGGAGGGGCGCAGCUCGUUCGUGCUGGUCAAUGAGGCCACCGGGAAAGCGCUGCGGCGCUCCCACGGUGACCAGAAGCUUCAGGUGGUCGGCUACUGCCCGGACUCGGUGGACGUCGCGCUGCUGUGGACGCGGGGUGGCGAUCUUGGGGAAGGGUACCACUGCAUCCGCAGGGUCAGCGACCUCGGCUACGUCCUUGACGCGGCGGAGGGUGUACCCGAAACCGGCGGGGCGCACGACGGGACGCCCGUCAUCUUGUUCCCGGCCAACGGGGGCCCGAAUCAGAAGUGGAAGAUGACGCCGUUCCAUUGA